This 406-nucleotide ribosomal RNA is filed under the name uncultured bacterium. RNAcentral's name for it is "partial 16S ribosomal RNA". It matches the Rfam family "Bacterial small subunit ribosomal RNA", at positions 30 to 526 of the family's 1533-position model. The record is from RNAcentral.
AUCGAACGCUGGCGGCAGGCCUAACACAUGCAAGUCGAACGAGUAGCGGACGGGUGAGUAAUGUCGGGGAAACUGCCUGAUGGAGGGGGAUAACUACUGGAAACGGUAGCUAAUACCGCAUACCAUCAGAUGUGCCCAGAUGGGAUUAGCUAGUUGGUGGGGUAACGGCUCACCAAGGCGACGCUCCCUAGCUGGUCUGAGAGGAUGACCAGCCACACUGGAACUGAGACACGGUCCAGACUCCUACGGGAGGCAGCAGUGGGGAAUAUUGUACAAUGGGCGAAAGCCUGAUGCAGCCAGGCCGCGUGUAUGAAGAAGGCCUUCGGGUUGUAAAGUACUGUCAGCGGGGAGGCGGUACCCGCCGAAGAAGCACCGGCUAACUCCGUGCCAGCAGCCGCGGUAAUUC